GACGAACGCUGGCGGCGUGCUUAACACAUGCAAGUCGAACGGAAAGGCCCUGCUUUUGUGGGGUGCUCGAGUGGCGAACGGGUGAGUAACACGUGUGUAACCUGCCCUUGACUUUGGGAUAACUUCAGGAAACUGGGGCUAAUAUCGGAUAGGAGCUCCUGCUGCAUGGUGGGGGUUGGAAAGUUUCGGCGGUUGGGGAUGGACUCGCGGAUUAUCAGCUUGUUGGUGGGGUAGUGGCUUACCAAGGCUUUGACGGGUAGCCGGCCUGGGAGGGUGGCCGGCGACCAGAGGACUGAGGUAGGGCGCAGACUCCAACGGGAGGCAACGGUGGGAAGUAUUGCACAGUGAGCGGGAGCCUGAUGCGGCAACGCCGCGUGCGGGAUGACGGCCUUCGGGUUGUAAACCGCUGUCGCCUGUGACGAAGCGUGAGUGACGGUAAUGGGUAAAGAAGCACCGGCUAACUACGUG
This 468-nucleotide ribosomal RNA is filed under the name uncultured bacterium. Its description in RNAcentral is "partial 16S ribosomal RNA". It matches the Rfam family "Bacterial small subunit ribosomal RNA", at positions 28 to 507 of the family's 1533-position model. The record is from RNAcentral.